Long non-coding RNA from Lolium rigidum, 2294 nucleotides. RefSeq lists it as uncharacterized. The record is from RefSeq and is a predicted model, not a curated record. NCBI's taxonomy places the organism in Eukaryota, Viridiplantae, Streptophyta, Magnoliopsida, Poales, Poaceae. The transcript is spliced from 3 exons.
UCAACCGGCGGCGAGCUCAGGGUAAAGAGCUUCAGGUCAUGGCUUUUACUCCAUUCGAGAUGGCAACUCAUGUUAGUAUUGUGGGGAGAAUGAGCAAAUCAGAACAGGAGUCCCUUGGAAUAAUGUUGGCACCUUGCUGAAGCAAAAUUACAGGAAUGCAACUUUCUUGUCCUUGUCACUUUUAUCCAUUGCACAUUCCUCAUUUGUAUUGCUAUAAUGUUUAUUUUAAUUUUACGGAUUAAUGGUUUUCUGUCUCCUUGACUGAAGGUGAAACCAUUGUUUAUAUGCUGUUGGCACCGUAUCAAUGAGCUCUUGCUACAUAUUAGAAUCUGAAUUCUUCAACGUAAUGGCCUGAACGAUUUGGUUGGCUAUCUGUUUACCCGACUUGAUUGAUAUCAGUUACAACUAUGGAUUGCCUCUCUCUGCAUUUUAUUAUUCUGGAGAGCAUCCAAAGAUGCAUUUUGUGUCCUAGAAUGCAAAGCAAGCUGUUACAGAACUCAAAUAAAUUUUUAUUUAGCUGUUUUUAUCCUUGUAAUGUGACCUGCACGUCCUCCUAUUCAUCUUGAUGACAACUUCAUUAGGAAACGAUAGAGUUACUUUUGUUAUCGUUCCACGCGAUAGCAAAUGCCUGCCCAUUUAUGCCGUUAUUAUAGAGGUAUAUGUCACUUAGCAAACACUCUUUUUUUUCCCCACCGUAGAUUUGUUUUAGUUAUUCUUUAGUGCCACCUUCCUAUCAUGCAGGACGCAAAGGAUUGUCUGGCAGUGUUACAACUUGCAAGUAUGGAUUGCCUUCUGUGCAAGGUAUAACAAUUACAUGACGUAGUUGAUCUCACUUCUGUUAUAAUAUACCUCAAUUGCAUAAGCUAAGCGAACAUGCAAAUAGAAUUCGUACAUUAUUAAUACUUGUAGAUUAGAAAUUAUAUGUUCAAGCUCACACAUGUGGAAGUAAGAUUUUUCUCGACAAUACUGGCUGGUCCAUUGCAUAACCAUACAAUCUCUACCGAACUUUGUUUGGUAUCCAGGCAUUUGACCACAGGAAUGUUGGAAUUCAUUUACGAUUCCAGUAAGCAAUGUGUUUGGCUGCCACAGAACUAUACAUAUAAUUCAAUAGUCAAUUCCAUCGAGGUCGGCCCAUACGUAACAUUAAUUCCAGUCGGUAUACCUGUCAUUUAUCUCACGCAGCUCUCUCCCCCUGACACUGCUUCUUCCUCCCCAACCCAUCUCCCACCUGACAACAUCCACCUCGUUGCCAAGCCAUGAUGCGUGGUAAAGUUGCUUUGUAUUGAACUUAAAAGUAAAAAAAAGGAGAAGCUUCAUGCAUGUUUAGAUCCUGCGUUUAUCUUGUGAUUUAUUUCUUGGAAAACCCCUGUUGCUUUGUGUUCUUUGAACAUGUCUUCCUAGAGGUUAGCUUUCUUGGAGAUAGCUCCCUUGGAAAUAGCUUCCAUGGAUAUUUCUUGAAUAUUAUCAUUACUUUGCUGUCAAUGAGAUCAUUACCUUGCAUCAAAUGCAGAUAUUUAGUCAGAAUAGAUUAGACUUAUCCAUGAUGAUCACCGCUCCCUGUUCUUGUUUUAGACGCAGACUUAUUAAACUGUUCCAUGAUGUUCAUUGUUGGUAGCUAGUGUGUUCUGAACUGUUUUUUUUUAAGUUUAAAUGAUGUUGUGGCUUAAGUGAGAGUGAGAGAGGCAGAGAGAUGUUGACUAUUACUAGACUGUUGUUUCUAAUUAAUUUCAGUUUCUUUAUCCCGAGUUUAAUGUGUAAUGAACAUGAGUUACUUAGUUACAUGUUUUUUUUUGUUUUUGCGAAAGAAUUAGAAUCACCAAGUAUGAAUCUGAGAAUAAUAGCCACAAGCAGCCGAAAAGGCACUAGUUACAUGCUCACAUGUUUCUACAUCGAUAAACACAACAAGAAACAGUAAUUAUAUCAUCUCAAGAUAUUACUCACCAGAAGCGGCUAAUCUGAGAAUAAAAGGAUAUGUAGACAUUGUUCUUUGUGGCAUAGCACCAUCACAGUAUAAAAUUCUUUGCAUAGUAUUUUCUCCGAAUCUUGCAUUGUUGCUUGUUGUUAUAACAUCUUGUUUGUAUGGUCUUCUGGAAGCCUAUGACAUUCUCAUCUCCAAGGACCGCAAGUUUAAGUCACUUCAAGCCUUGCCGGUGGGAAUGACAAGGAAAUUGGUUAUGAAGCAACUCAAGACUUAGGAUCUUCAUUGUUGAAAUGAAGCAAAGACUAUUUUUUUCCUGAAACUUGGCAUUUGUUAGCAUCUGUGAUCAUAAGCUGUAACAAUUUGCCUUUUUUUU